UGGAUGUGGAGGAAACUCAGGAGAAAGAGAACAUAGCAGAGCAGCAGCUUGAAGCGGAGUUUGAGCAGGCUUCCACUUGUGGCUCCGAAGAAAAGGUCUUUAAGAGAUCUAAGAAGAAUAAGAAGCAGAAGAAAGCCAAAGAGUUGAAGGCUGACUUGUUGUGGAGUGCGACCUCUGAAGAUCUAAAUAACUUGGAGCCAGAGCAUGUGCUAAAGGUGGAGGAAACUCAGGAGAAAGAGAUUAUAGCAGAGCAGCAGCUUGAAGCGGAGUUUGAGCAGGCUUCCACUUGUGGCUCCGAAGAAAAGGUCCUUAAGAGAUCUAAGAAGAAUAAGAAGCAGAAGAAAGCCAAAGAGUCGAAGGCUGACUUGUUGUGGAGUGCAACCUCUGAAGAUCUAAAUAACUUAGAGCCAGAGCCUGUGG
Drosophila guanche is the source of this 420-nucleotide long non-coding RNA. RefSeq lists it as uncharacterized. The record is from RefSeq and is a predicted model, not a curated record. The transcript is spliced from 3 exons. Lineage: Eukaryota; Metazoa; Arthropoda; Insecta; Diptera; Drosophilidae.